RNAcentral lists this transfer RNA (92 nucleotides) under Aromia moschata. Its description in RNAcentral is "tRNA-OTHER". The record is from RNAcentral. Lineage: Eukaryota; Metazoa; Arthropoda; Insecta; Coleoptera; Cerambycidae.
GCGGCGAUAGCUCAGUAGGUAAAGCGCCAGGUGAGUAGAUGGCGUUACUCCGAGAGCUAUUAUCCACGCAGGUUCGAAUCCCGCCUGUGGCA